CCUACGGGUGGCUGCAGUGAGGAAUAUUGGUCAAUGGGCGUAAGCCUGAACCAGCCAAGUCGCGUGAGGGAUGAAGGUUCUAUGGAUCGUAAACCUCUUUUAUAAGGGAAUAAAGUGUGGGACGUGUCCUGUUUUGUAUGUACCUUAUGAAUAAGGAUCGGCUAACUCCGUGCCAGCAGCCGCGGUAAUACGGAGGAUCCGAGCGUUAUCCGGAUUUAUUGGGUUUAAAGGGUGCGUAGGGGGAAUAUCAAGUCAGCGGUAAAAAUUCGGGGCUCAACCCCGUCGUGCCGUUGAAACUGAUGUUCUUGAGUGGGCGUGAGGUAUGCGGAAUGCGUGGUGUAGCGGUGAAAUGCAUAGAUAUCACGAAGAACUCCGAUUGCGAAGGCAGCAUACCAGCGCCCAACUGACACUGAAGCACGAAAGCGUGGGUAUCAAACAGGAUUAGAUACCCCUGUAGUC
RNAcentral lists this ribosomal RNA (459 nucleotides) under uncultured bacterium. RNAcentral's name for it is "partial 16S ribosomal RNA". It matches the Rfam family "Bacterial small subunit ribosomal RNA", at positions 338 to 795 of the family's 1533-position model. The record is from RNAcentral.